GACGAAGGGGGCAAGCGUUGUUCGGAAUUACUGGGCGUAAAGGGCGCGUAGGCGGUUCUUUAAGUCAGGCGUGAAAGCCCUGGGCUCAACCUGGGAGUGGCGCUUGAUACUGGAGGACUAGAGAGUGGGAGAGGUUGGUGGAAUUCCCAGUGUAGAGGUGAAAUUCGUAGAUAUUGGGAAGAACACCGGUGGCGAAGGCGGCUUCCUGGCCAUUCACUGACGCUGAGACGCGAAAGCGUGGGGAGCAAACAGG
This 253-nucleotide ribosomal RNA is filed under the name uncultured bacterium. RNAcentral describes it as "partial 16S ribosomal RNA". It matches the Rfam family "Bacterial small subunit ribosomal RNA", at positions 524 to 776 of the family's 1533-position model. The record is from RNAcentral.